UACGUAGGGGGCUAGCGUUGUCCGGAAUCAUUGGGCGUAAAGCGCGUGUAGGCGGCCCGGUAAGUCCGCUGUGAAAGUCGGGGGCUCAACCCUCGAAAGCCGGUGGAUACUGUCGGGCUCGAGUGCGGAAGAGGCGAGUGGAAUUCCUGGUGUAGCGGUGAAAUGCGCAGACAUCAGGAGGAACACCGAUUGCGAAGGCAGCUCGCUGGGACGUUACUGACGCUGAGACGCGAAAGCGUGGGGAGCAAACAGG
Molecule: ribosomal RNA, 253 nt
Filed under: uncultured bacterium
Lineage: Bacteria
Description: partial 16S ribosomal RNA
Rfam family: Bacterial small subunit ribosomal RNA
Source: RNAcentral